This 253-nucleotide ribosomal RNA is filed under the name uncultured bacterium. RNAcentral describes it as "partial 16S ribosomal RNA". It matches the Rfam family "Bacterial small subunit ribosomal RNA", at positions 524 to 776 of the family's 1533-position model. The record is from RNAcentral.
UACGGAGGGUGCAAGCGUUAAUCGGAAUUACUGGGCGUAAAGCGUGCGUAGGCGGCUAUGUAAGACAGAUGUGAAAUCCCUGGGCUUAACCUAGGAACUGCAUUUGUGACUGCAUUGCUAGAGUGUGGUAGAGGGAGAUGGAAUUCCGCAUGUAGCAGUGAAAUGCGUAGAUAUGCGGAGGAACACCAAUGGCGAAGGCAAUCUCCUGGACCUGCACUGACGCUCAUGCACGAAAGCGUGGGGAGCAAACAGG